AGAAUCAACGCUGGCGGCGUGCCUAACACAUGCAAGUCGAACGAGAAAGUGGAGCAAUCCAUGAGUAAAGUGGCGACCGGGUGAGUAACACGUGACUAACCUACCUUCGAGUGGGGGAUAACCUCGGGAAACCGAGGCUAAUACCGCAUAACAUCGCAAGAUCAAAGCAGCAAUGCGCUGGAAGAGGGGGUCGCGGCUGAUUAGCUAGUUGGCGGGGUAACGGCCCACCAGGGCGAAGAUCGGUAGCCGGCCUGAGAGGGCGCGACGGCCACACUGGAACUGAAACACGGUCCAGACUCCUACGGGAGGCAGCAGUGGGAAUUUUGCGCAAUGGGGGAAACCCUGACGCAGCAACGCCGCGUGGAGGAUGAAGCCCCUUGGGGCGUAAACUCCUUUCGACCAAGACGAUAAUGACGGUACUGGUGGAAGAAGCACCGGCUAACUCUGUGCCAGCAGCCGC
This 460-nucleotide ribosomal RNA is filed under the name uncultured bacterium. RNAcentral's name for it is "SSU rRNA". It matches the Rfam family "Bacterial small subunit ribosomal RNA", at positions 26 to 518 of the family's 1533-position model. The record is from RNAcentral.